GUGCCAGCCGCCGCGGUAAUACGUAGGUGGCAAGCGUUGUCCGGAAUUAUUGGGCGUAAAGCGCGCGCAGGUGGUUUAAUAAGUCUGAUGUGAAAGCCCACGGCUCAACCGUGGAGGGUCAUUGGAAACUGUUAAACUUGAGUGCAGGAGAGAAAAGUGGAAUUCCUAGUGUAGCGGUGAAAUGCGUAGAGAUUAGGAGGAACACCAGUGGCGAAGGCGGCUUUUUGGCCUGUAACUGACACUGAGGCGCGAAAGCGUGGGGAGCAAACAGGAUUAGAUACCCUGGUAGUCCACGCCGUAAACGAUGAGUGCUAAGUGUUGGUCUCAUAAGAGAUCAGUGCUGCAGCUAACGCAUUAAGCACUCCGCCUGGGGAGUACGACCGCAAGGUUGAAACUCAAAGAAAUUGACGG
RNAcentral lists this ribosomal RNA (411 nucleotides) under uncultured Gemella sp. RNAcentral describes it as "bacterial SSU rRNA". It matches the Rfam family "Bacterial small subunit ribosomal RNA", at positions 505 to 916 of the family's 1533-position model. The record is from RNAcentral. Lineage: Bacteria; Bacillati; Bacillota; Bacilli; Caryophanales; Gemellaceae.